RNAcentral lists this ribosomal RNA (518 nucleotides) under uncultured bacterium. Its description in RNAcentral is "bacterial SSU rRNA". It matches the Rfam family "Bacterial small subunit ribosomal RNA", at positions 355 to 873 of the family's 1533-position model. The record is from RNAcentral.
UAAGGAAUAUUGGUCAAUGGACGCAAGUCUGAACCAGCCAUGCCGCGUGAAGGAUGAAGGUCCUCUGGAUUGUAAACUUCUUUUAUAGGGGAAGAAACCUUUUAAUUUUUAAGAGUUGACGGUACCCUGUGAAUAAGCACCGGCUAACUCCGUGCCAGCAGCCGCGGUAAUACGGAGGGUGCAAGCGUUAUCCGGAUUCACUGGGUUUAAAGGGUGCGUAGGUGGGUCUGUAAGUCAGUGGGUGAAAUCUCCGGGCUCAACCCGGAAACUGCCAUUGAUACUAUAGGUCUUGAAUUUUCCGGAGGUAAGCGGAAUAUGUCAUGUAGCGGUGAAAUGCUUAGAUAUGACAUAGAACACCAAUUGCGAAGGCAGCUUACUACAGGAACAUUGACACUGAGGCACGAAAGCGUGGGGAUCAAACAGGAUUAGAUACCCUGGUAGUCCACGCCCUAAACUAUGGAUACUCGACAUUUGUGAUACACAAUAAGUGUCUGAGCGAAAGCAUUAAGUAUCCCACC